AUCUUUGAGUUGCAAGCAUUUCUCAAUAUCAUGGUUGUGAUCUUUAUGGUAUUGAUAAUAUUUUCUCGCAUUUUACCUACUAGGUGGGGCUAUCAUCCUCUUUGGCCUCAGUAGAUCUUUCUAGUGCUCGAUCUCUAUAAGUAUCUAUGCUCUGGGUGCAUUGAGUGGAGUAUAAUUUUUGAAUCUCCGAGGUGGAGAUCUAGAUCAGUGGUGCCUACGUGAGGUCCUCGUUUGGUUGUCACAAGGAGGAUCCAGGAUCGGUGUGAUCUUCUAUCAUCUCGGUGGCCUUCGC
This 292-nucleotide long non-coding RNA is filed under the name Elaeis guineensis (African oil palm). RNAcentral's name for it is "long non-coding RNA (EGUI_LNC018460)". Lineage: Eukaryota; Viridiplantae; Streptophyta; Magnoliopsida; Arecales; Arecaceae. The record is from RNAcentral.